RNAcentral lists this ribosomal RNA (681 nucleotides) under uncultured bacterium. RNAcentral describes it as "bacterial SSU rRNA". It matches the Rfam family "Bacterial small subunit ribosomal RNA", at positions 94 to 773 of the family's 1533-position model. The record is from RNAcentral.
AGUGGCGCACGGGUGCGUAACACGUAUGCAACCUACCUUUAACAGGUACAUAACAGCGCGAAAGCGGUGCUAAUAUACCAUGUGGUUAUUGAAUGGCAUCAUUUAAUAAUUAAAGAUUUAUCGGUUAAAGAUGGGCAUGCGUCCCAUUAGCUAGUUGGUGAGGUAAAGGCUCACCAAGGCAAUGAUGGGUAGGGGUUCUGAGAGGAUAUACCCCCACACUGGUACUGAGACACGGACCAGACUCCUACGGGAGGCAGCAGUAAGGAAUAUUGGUCAAUGGGCGAGAGCCUGAACCAGCCAUGCCGCGUGCAGGAAGACGGCCCUAUGGGUUGUAAACUGCUUUUGUCAGGGGAUAAACCUACCGACGAGUCGGUAGCUGAAGGUACCUGAAGAAUAAGGAUCGGCUAACUCCGUGCCAGCAGCCGCGGUAAUACGGAGGAUCCGAGCGUUAUCCGGAUUUAUUGGGUUUAAAGGGUGCGCAGGCGGAUUGGUAAGUCAGGGGUGAAAUUCUACGGCUCAACUGUAGGCGUGCCUUUGAUACUGCCAAACUAGAGUUAAGUUGGAGUGGGCGGAAUGUGUUGUGUAGCGGUGAAAUGCUUAGAUAUAACACAGAACACCGAUCGCGAAGGCAGCUCACUAAACUUAGACUGACGCUCAUGCACGAAAGCGUGGGGAUCAAAC